Molecule: ribosomal RNA, 860 nt
Filed under: uncultured bacterium
Lineage: Bacteria
Description: bacterial SSU rRNA
Rfam family: Bacterial small subunit ribosomal RNA
Source: RNAcentral
GGCUCAGGACGAACGCUGGCGGCGUGCUUAAUGAAUGCGAGUCGAGCGAGAACCAGUUGCGUGCUUGCACAAGACUGGGGACAGCGGCGAACGGGUGAGUAACACGUGGGUCACCUGCCCUGCAGACGGGCACAACAGCUGGAAACGGCUGCUAAUUCCCGAUGGUCUGUCACCUCACAAGGGGUGCCAGUAAAGGUUAAUUCCGCUGCAGGAUGGGCCCGCGGGCCAUUAGCUUGUUGGUGGGGUAAAGGCCUACCAAGGCGACGAUGGCUAGCCGGUCUGAGAGGACGAUCGGCCACACUGGGACUGAGACAUGGUCCAGACUCCUCCGGGAGUUAGCAUCAGGGAAUCUUGCGCAAUGGGCGAAAGCCUGACGCAGCGACGCCGCGUGAGGGAUGAAGGUCUGCGGAUCGUAAACCUCUGUAAGCAGGGACGAAUGCCCGGUUCGGCCGGGAGUGACGGUACCUGCAGAGUAAGCUCCGGCUAACUACGUGCCAGCAGCCGCGGUAAUACGUAGGGAGCCAGCGUUGUCCGGAUUUACUGGGCGUAAAGAGCGCGUAGGCGGUCUGAUUAGCGGAGGGUGAAAUCCCGGGGCUCAACUCCGGGGCUGCUCUCCGAACUGUCAGACUAGAGUACGGGAGAGGACAGUGGAAUUCCUGGUGUAGCGGUGGAAUGCGUAAAUAUCAGGAGGAACACCCGUGGCGAAGGCUGCUGUCUGGAACGUGACUGACGCUGAGGCGCGAAAGCUAGGGGAGCGAACGGGAUUAGAUACCCCGGUAGUCCUAGCCGUAAACGAUGGACACUAGGUGUUGGAGGCAUCGACCCCUUCAGUGCUGUUCUGCUAACGCGUUAAGUGUCCC